GCCUCGGUGGUGUAGUGGUAGUACCACGCGUUUCCCGGUAUGGAUGAAGCGCGGGUUCGAAUCCCUCCUGAAAGCG
This is a non-coding RNA of Parelaphostrongylus tenuis, 76 nucleotides long. NCBI's taxonomy places the organism in Eukaryota, Metazoa, Nematoda, Chromadorea, Rhabditida, Metastrongylidae. The record is from the annotation of a GenBank genome assembly.